AUUGAACGCUGGCGGCAUGCUUUACACAUGCAAGUCGAACGGUAACAGGCCUUCGGGUGCUGACGAGUGGCGCACGGGUGAGUAAUGCAUCGGAACGUACCCAGAGGUGGGGGAUAACGCAGCGAAAGCUGUGCUAAUACCGCAUGUGAUCUGAGGAUGAAAGCGGGGGACCGAGCAGCAAUGUUUGGCCUCGCGCCUUUGGAGCGGCCGAUGUCGGAUUAGCUAGUUGGUGGGGUAAAGGCCUACCAAGGCGACGAUCCGUAGCUGGUCUGAGAGGACGACCAGCCACACUGGGACUGAGACACGGCCCAGACUCCUACGGGAGGCAGCAGUGGGGAAUUUUGGACAAUGGGCGCAAGCCUGGUCCAGCAAUGCCGCGUGCGGGAAGAAGGCCUUCGGGUUGUAAACCGCUUUUGGCAGGAACGAAACGGUGUCCGCUAAUACCGGGCGCUAAUGACGGUACCUGCAGAAUAAGCACCGGCUAACUACGUG
RNAcentral lists this ribosomal RNA (492 nucleotides) under uncultured bacterium. Its description in RNAcentral is "partial 16S ribosomal RNA". It matches the Rfam family "Bacterial small subunit ribosomal RNA", at positions 29 to 507 of the family's 1533-position model. The record is from RNAcentral.